GGGGGGGGGGACAGCAGGGUUACUCAUAGAUGAUGUGUGUUUACUGUACGUUACUGUUACUUGCUAUUGUAUUUUGGUAUUUUGUUUCCUUUGUUCGGAUUAUUAUUUACGUUAUUUAUACUGGAAUUUCUAAUGCACUAAUGAUAUACUGCUUCUGUUUUGUUUUGUCUGUGUUUUGUUUUACUACUGUUUUUCCCUAACCCUAUGAGCCGAGGGUCGAUUGGAAACAGCCUCCCUGCCCUUUCGGGUAGGGGUAAGCUCGUCUACAUAUUACCUUCCCCAGACCCCACCUGGUGGGAAUAUACUUGGUAGUUGUUGUUGUUGUUGUAAUGGUAAGGCUCGUCUACAUGUUACCCUCCCCAGACCCCACCUGGUGGGAAUAUACUGGGUAGUUAUUGUUGUUGU
RNAcentral lists this long non-coding RNA (405 nucleotides) under Nicotiana benthamiana. RNAcentral describes it as "long non-coding RNA (NBEN_LNC040983)". Lineage: Eukaryota; Viridiplantae; Streptophyta; Magnoliopsida; Solanales; Solanaceae. The record is from RNAcentral.